UAUAAAUGUUAAAUGCUUACAAGGUGCGAGUACAUUUCACCAUCUACCCAAAAGGUGCAACAAAUUUCUGCAGGAACAAAAGCUGGACCAUAUUCAAAGCCUCAAACACCACCACCAGAGAAAGAAGAUGCUAUUUCUUGAAAUUUUGCAUAGAAUGUUCACAGGAGGACCUGAUUGUAUUGAGGAAUAUAUGAUUGUGUUUAUUUAAUUUAAUGGCUAAGAAACAACUCAGAGUUGGUUCCUUGCCUCAGAAAUUCUUGGGACGACACUUUUUUCAAUAAAAUGGCAUAAUUGAGCUACUACAAGAACAAGCCACGCAGGAAUUUUGUCACCUAGUACUCCUAUCUGAUUUCAUGAGAAUAGUGAUAUUGAGCAACGACAAAAUGGACGUCUAACAUGAGUCUUUUAGAGUAAUUCAUGAGAAUAAGCCAAGCAUUAGCUUAUACUUUCUCCAAGAGUUGGUAAAUGACACCCUUGAGUGGCACAUAUGUUAAACAUUAGCUGGGGUAUAUAGGAAAAGAAAGUAGUCAGAAUACUUUAAAAAAAUUAUGUUCACAAAAUUAUUUGUAGUAGUUUGAAUGAUAUAGAUAGAAAGUUCUUGAAGAAAUUGUUUUAUGAGCUGUCGAUCAUUAUUGUGAAUUGCAAAGGGCACCAUAUAUGUAAUUGUUGUUUGAAUUUUAGAAUAUGAGAAAAGUAGGAAUAAAGUGUUACCUUAAAGCAAAGGUGACAAUAGAGUAACAUCCCGAGUUCUAUAUUUCACAACGUAAUCUUAUAUAAUAUCAACAAAAUGUAUUGAUUAUCUCUACUUUUUAUGUUUACAAAUCAAAGUCACAUAUUUAAACAUGUUGGAUUCGUCAGAAUACUGAAUAACAUUUUACACUUGAAAGGGAAGAACAGUCUCAUUUGCCAUCCUAUAGUUUCACUUGAAAUAGAACGCACCUAGAUACACACAUUAGAAAGUAAAGAAUCCCCAGAAUUUUACUAUUAAGACAGCCAAAAGUGAGAUCUUUGUAAGGUUUAAAGAAAGAAAGCAUAGCGGGACUGGGAAAUGCCACAUCACAUGAUAAAAGUAAUUCUGUUGGCAUCUUAUCUUCUAUCAUUACCAGUAAGACAUCCAUACUGCCUUGGAUAACUGCCUUUUUACUUGCCUCAAAGGCUGCCUUCAAAGGGUAUACUUCCUCUAUUCCCUCCUUUUGCAUAACUUGGAUUUUAAGAAAGUGUCUACUAGAGAAGAAAAAUUAAACAAAUAAAAUCAUGCAAAAUUAUAGACUCUAAAUUUGUUAAAUUAACUUUAUGUAGAUGCUGGAUUCAUCUUAAAAAAUGAGAAAAAGAAGAAGAAGAAGAAGGCAGACCUAUAAUCCAAAUAAUUGAGCUUCUUGACUUACAUUAUAUUGAAACGAUUGCAAACCUGAAAUAUCAAGUAGAAGAUGACUUAUUGCACUGAUGAUAUAAUCUUUGACAGCAAUAAGAGCAUCCUGAAAACAAUAAAUUUAUCAUCAUAUCAUCCUCAAUAAAUACGAGUCACAAAGCAAUCCAGAUAGACACGCAGAUGUAUUGCCAUCUGUUUUAGUUGUAGAAUCGACAAUGACCUGUAGAGUAAAAUCAGGAAGGGCAGCCCCAGUUAACACUUUAUCAAGUAGGAGCACAUAAGUCCAAAUGACUCCUAUAAACG
RNAcentral lists this long non-coding RNA (1672 nucleotides) under Olea europaea subsp. europaea. Lineage: Eukaryota; Viridiplantae; Streptophyta; Magnoliopsida; Lamiales; Oleaceae. The record is from RNAcentral.